RNAcentral lists this transfer RNA (103 nucleotides) under Rostrohypoxylon terebratum. RNAcentral's name for it is "tRNA-Ala". It matches the Rfam family "tRNA". From Rfam's summary of the family: Transfer RNA (tRNA) molecules are approximately 80 nucleotides in length. Their secondary structure includes four short double-helical elements and three loops (D, anti-codon, and T loops). The record is from RNAcentral. Lineage: Eukaryota; Fungi; Ascomycota; Sordariomycetes; Xylariales; Hypoxylaceae.
GGGCGUGUAACUCAGUGGUAGAGUGCUCGCUUUGCAUGAUGUUAGGAAUCGCUAACGGAUUGAAGUUUGCGAGAAGUCCAGGGUUCGACUCCCUGCUCGUCCA